GGAGAGGUGCCCGGAGUGGUUUAUCGGGGACCGGGACUUCGGUCCCGAUCGGGUGAAUGCCCGCGCAGGUUCGAAUCCUGCCUUCUCCG
RNAcentral lists this transfer RNA (89 nucleotides) under Kitasatospora atroaurantiaca. RNAcentral describes it as "tRNA-Pro". It matches the Rfam family "tRNA". From Rfam's summary of the family: Transfer RNA (tRNA) molecules are approximately 80 nucleotides in length. Their secondary structure includes four short double-helical elements and three loops (D, anti-codon, and T loops). Lineage: Bacteria; Bacillati; Actinomycetota; Actinomycetes; Kitasatosporales; Streptomycetaceae. The record is from RNAcentral.